AGCCAAGUGCCACAUUAUGUUCACUCAGCAGAAAUCAUCUACCCUUCGUACAUUAUUUGUGUUCACCUUGUGCUGAUUACCAUAUGGCAUCUUCGAAAACUUUUCUUCUUCUUGGUCUUGUCUUUGCUGUUGUCCUCGUCUCCUCUGAGGUCGUCUCAGCUCGCGAGCUGGUUCCGACUACUGCUCAAACCCGUCAGUUUCUUUCUUUCUCAAAUAAAUCUUUUGUUUCUUUUAUUCUAGUAUGAGUUCGUAAACUUUUCGAGGCACAUUCUAUAUGUGGUACAGGAUAGAUCAUGACAAUUUUUAAUGAUACGAAUUAAUUUGUAUUUAUAUAUGUGACUUGUAAAGAAAUGAAUGGUUAAGAUUUCUUUAGCUAAAUGAUGUGCCUGCAUGGCUUAAUUUGCAACUUUUCGACAUAUAUAACGUUUUUCUUUUUAUGCUAUUUUCCUCUUCUUUUUUUUUUUUUCUUUCAGAGGAAAAUGUAGAGAAGGAUAACUAUGGUGACCAUUUUCACUGCCACGAGCAUGGACUUUGGGAGCAUGGCCACGGCCAUUGCCACGGACACUGGGAGCAUUGUGGCCAUGGCUGCCACGGAAAAUGGGGACAUGGUGCUGCUGGGAGUGAAAUAGAGAAUUAGAUAUAAACCUAUAAUUUGCCUGUGGUAGUAUAUGUUGCAGGCAUGUUAUAAGGUUCAUAAAUAAAUCUUUGUUUGUCAAUAAAGCAGCAUUAAUUGGUUGAGUAGAUCCAUAACUCCCAAUCACAGCUGGUUUUUAGGGUUUAUUGAUCCUCGCCUUAGAUUUGCUACAAUGCACUUUGAUUUGCUGAGUUGAAGUUGUGUCAAAAGUGUACUGUUG
This 854-nucleotide long non-coding RNA is filed under the name Prunus persica (peach). Its description in RNAcentral is "long non-coding RNA (PPER_LNC004268)". Lineage: Eukaryota; Viridiplantae; Streptophyta; Magnoliopsida; Rosales; Rosaceae. The record is from RNAcentral.